GACGUAUAAUUCAGACAAGUUCCCAUCAGAAUCACUAAGAUAUAAGAAAUAGUUUCUUCUAUGAGGUUGUUCGGCUGUGGCUAUGAAAGCAGAAGUGCUAUUUGAGCAAAAUUACUUAGGUUAAAGAAUGGUUGAGACAAUUAAGUUCAAAAGUUUCCAUUUUCUCAUCUCACCGUCUCAGUCAGUAACAAGCCAAAAAAAAAAA
Molecule: unclassified non-coding RNA, 205 nt
Filed under: Hevea brasiliensis (rubber tree)
Lineage: Eukaryota; Viridiplantae; Streptophyta; Magnoliopsida; Malpighiales; Euphorbiaceae
Source: RNAcentral